RNAcentral lists this unclassified non-coding RNA (314 nucleotides) under plant metagenome. RNAcentral's name for it is "partial contains small subunit ribosomal RNA, internal transcribed spacer 1, and 5.8S ribosomal RNA". The stretch from base 1 to 54 matches the Rfam family "Eukaryotic small subunit ribosomal RNA", at positions 1778 to 1831 of the family's 1831-position model. The record is from RNAcentral.
GGAACUAAAAGUCGUAACAAGGUUUCCGUAGGUGAACCUGCGGAAGGAUCAUUGAAUCGAUCGAACCAACCCGGUGACUUGGUGUGCCCGAUCCCGGUGGGAGAUUCCUCUGCCGGGUGGCCGAUCUGGGGGGUCUUCUCAUGAAUGGGAGGGCUCCUUUGGGUCGGGCUGCGGGUCGUCCUCCAAAGGAGACGGCCUCUUGGCGGCUUUCAUCCGAUCUUGGAAGCACCCCUGAAGCGUCCGCCCACCGGCCACAAGCCGGUGGGCAUGCAAAAUACGAAAGACAACUCUCAACAACGGAUAUCUUGGCUCCC